ACAAUUAUUUCACUCUCUAAACCCUAGAUCCUCCACCGCAUAACUAAAGCACCUCCACCACACCUCCACCGCACCUCCACCUUUCAUCCAUGGAACCGGUCUUUGCCAUCACCGUCUUCUCCCCUUUCAUCCAUGGAACCGGUACCGUUUUUUACCCUAUUUUGUACGUUUUUUUUUUUAAUCUUUGUCAGAUCUGUGAUAAUACUUUUAGAUCUGUGAUAAUACUUUUAGAUCUGUGAAUCUGUGAUAAUACUUUUAGAUCUGUGAUAAUACUUUUAGAUCUGUGUUGGUUUUGUGAUUAUUUUAAUGUUCUGUGAAUGGAUCAACAUCGAGAGUAUAUAUUUUUGUAUUGGUUAGGGUUUUUGUUUUUUUGGAAAUUUGAAUAUAGUUGAAGACGAAGACGGAUGAACAGGUGAAAGAGAGAACACUGCGGCUUGGUUGAAGAACCUUCAAAUUCAGCCUUAGUGGCUUGCAAUGAAUUAUGAAGUUAAGAAACUGAAAAAGCUUGCCCUGAAGAGGUAAUAUGACAUUCUUUGGGGCUAUUUUCGGUCAUUAAUCAAAUUGGUAAUAUAUGACAUUCUUUGGGGCUAUUUUUGGUCAUUAAUCAAAGAAAGCAAUCAAGGUCUACUGAAAAAGCUUGCCAUGAAGAGGUAAUAUGACAUUCUUUGGGGCUAUUUUCGGUCAUUAAUCAAAUUGGCAAAAUAAAAAAUUGUGUAAAACUGUUACACCUCAAAUGAGUUGAAGCAGGUUAAUCAGUUGAAAAGCUAAUUAAAGUGUAUUGAUUAUUUGCAACGGUACGUGGUUUGACUAGAUGUUUGUAUUAUUCUGGUUAGGUUUUGUUUUUCGUGUCAACACGGUCAACGAAUAUGUAUCUUUUGAUCUGAAGGAAAUGCUGAAGGAUGUGGUGAGAACCAAGACUUAUCUAAACGUCAUCUACAAGAAGAAAUAUUUAUUCAAAGAAAAGAUUGUUCUUGACGUUGGUGCCGGGACCGGAAUAUUCUCCCUCUUCUGUGCAAAAGCUGGGGCAAAACAUGUUUAUGCUAUUGAGUGCUCACAGAUGGCUGAUAUGGCACCAGAUAUUGUUAAGGCGAACGGUUUUUCAAAUGGGAAAGGUUGAAGAAAUCGACCUUCCAGUUCCACAAGUGGAUGCUAUUAUUUUGGAAUGGAUGCGUUAUUUUCUGUUAUAUGAGAAUAUGUUGAAUACAGUUUUAUAUGCUCGUGAUAAGUGGCUGGUAAGUUUCAUUUACUUUUUUUGGUUUUUUAAUUUGGUUUUUUUGUUUUUAGGUUUGGCCAGUUUUGCGACUUUCGUCCAAAGGCAUUUUCAUCCAGCAUUAUGAAUGUGGUGAAAGAGGUCAUCUGUCAUUGGCAUGCCCUAAGAAACAAGCUUCUGAUGUGGCGAAUUCGAUACAGGUGGCUAAUGACAUGGAAGUUGAGAAAGCUGACUUGGCAGUUGUUGGUAAGGAAGCGAGUGAUAAUGCUGAUGCGGGUCGGGCUGGGCGUAGAGGAAGUAUUUAUCUUGAUGGGCUUACAACCACUUUACACUUAGACGAUUUGGACUACUUAAUCGAAUGCUUACAAAAAUUGUUCGAUGAAGUUAAGAAAGUGGGCCUCUUCCCAUUCUACGAGCAAGUCGAGUUAUUCACUGGACAAAUCACAGACGUUACGUUCUUCGAAUUACUUGAAAAAUUUGGUGAAAAUUGUCGUUUGGAUGGAUCGUACUUUUUGUGCAAACACAAUCAUAUAAAAAAAGUCGCUAACAUGUUGGAGAAAGUUCAAGGGCUCUCGCUUGAAGACCGGUUUAACUUCUGUUUUGCUCCAGUUAACAUUCGGGAUCCAAAGGCGAUAUUUACAAAGAUUUGCUCAAUCGUACUCUCAAAACGUGCCAGUUAGUUUAGCUAUGGGGAUGUCGAAGUCUUUUGCUAGAAACGAUACAGAGUUGUUAGAUCUUGAGAGUAAGCAUCAAGUUGUAUCUAUGUGUAUCUAUGGCUGUCGAAUCACUUCAAGGAGGAAACUUUUCAGUAUGUGAAGAAAGCGGAGGCCAUGGCGACUGAUAUUGCCGAGUUAUUAGGUCAAUCUCUUAUUAAAGCGAACUGGAAACCGGAAUCGAGAAAUCAAGGGUUAAGCUGCAAGAACACGGUCUCGUAGGGACGACGGUGGUUACGACGGACGCCGUGGUAGUCCUCGCGGUAGUUUCGGAUCUGGUGAUAGAAGGUUUGUAAACGGUUUUCACUUUUUAUUAAUAUUAUUAUUUUUUUUAUUUUCUGUAUUACGCUAUCUCAUGGAAAACUAUAGGUACAGACUAUAGUGUCGAAAUCUCACCAUAUAUGAAGCUAAUUUUAGUAAGCCAGUUGAUUGACUAGGCUAUUAGUUAAUGUGCCUGUGAAUUUGCUUUGUUUCUAUUUAUUUGUUAAUCGAAUAUCAUUAUAAUUGACUGUGUUUGUGUUAGUAGUGAUUGUUCCAGGUUUGAGCUUCCAUUGGGGAGUAUAAUGGCAUUGUUUAAUGGUCUGCUACCUUUGUGAAGAGAUGCAGGAAGAUUGCGAGUUAGUAGAUUAUGAGUGAGUGUGAGACUGAGAGUAUUCAUUCACCAGUUCUAUAUAAUUGAUUUUGAGUGAGAGUAUUACUUCUACUAUUCCAAAUACUUGACCAAAUACUUGAGUGUGAGUGAGUGUUGCAUUCCAUCUGUUCUAUAUGAUUGAUUUUGAGAGAGUUUUACUCCAUCCAUUCUAAAUUACAGGAGCACUUUCCUGGUCUAAUCAUAUAAGUACAUAGGAAAGUGCUUUUAUAAUUUGGAAGGGGAGGAGUAUUAAUUGAAGGGGAGACUCGAAGUUGAAAAGGGGAGGCGCUGGUAAUGUUUAGAAACAGGGAGACCGGAGACGGUUAUUCACCUGAGUCAAAGCAGAUGGUGUAAUAUUAAGUUUUUGAUUUGAUUGAAUGCGGCUCUAAAAGUGUGGAAUGAAACUUGAAUGUACCAGUCUUGGUUUGAAUAUUCCUUCUUCAGGUUGCGAUAGCUCGCCAGUUCUAUUUCAACUACACUACGCCAGAUCAGUCUCGACAAGAAAUAUUUCACAGCGUCAAAUUCAUGUUUCACGCUCUCGCUCAUCAAAUCUCUGUUCGAUCUCUCAGGUAUAACUGUUUGUUUGUUCUCUAGAUCUAUACACACUUUUUUCAUUGAAUUAAAUCCAAAUGAAAUCCAUUAUCAUCGAUGAAUGUUCAUCGAUCUGUUGAUUCAUUCUAAAAGUUAUGUGAUUCAAUCGUUAAUUUUUCUUGUUCGGAUCUCAGUAUAAAUAAUUUGUUCGUGUUGAAUACGAUUUUGAUCUUCAAAAUCUAUACGCAAUCGUAUUAAAUUUAUCGAUGAGUGUUCUAGGUUUUUUGCAUCAAUAUAUUGAUUUUGAUUGAUUAAUUUUCAAAAUGAUGCGGUUGAGUGGUUAAUUUUGUUUGUUUUUAACGGUUAUUAAGAAUACAGGGUGAACGGUGAACUGAAACCAUUCGACGAGAGUGAGUUUUUGAGAAGAUGAUUAAAUUGAUGAUGAUCAGAUCUCGGUGGUUGGAGUUCCAGAUGCGAUUCCCGUCAAGUAUAUGGAGGGACUAAUGGAUGAUGUUGAAAAAUCAAAUGAGAUGGUCUAAUUGAUCUUUUUUUUUUUUUUUUGUUGAAGAUAGAAGAUAGUUGCCCAGAUUUGGUAACAUCUGUUGAGGCUACCCAAAUUCCGCUUCAAAACGAGCCUGCCUGUUAGGUAUCUGUUUAUGUUUCAGCUUCAUUUGUGUUAACAGAUUAUUUUAUGAUCUGUUAUAAUUUAUUGUUGAUGCAUCUAUUCUGAUUCUUAUUCAGACCCACAUACAUCACUAAAGAUUUUACUUAUAAUGAUUUAUGAAGGCAACCUGACACCAACCAGAAGCGGUAUAAGGAGUAGGUCAAACGAGUUGUGUAAUUGCUCAAAUGGGUAUUUUUUUUGGUAUGGGCUAGGUUGACCCGCAAACAUGUUUUAGUCCGUUUUUAACUUGUGUUAAACAUGAUUACAUUAACAGGAAUAUUACAAUAUAUGUGAAGCGGUUUCGCCUCCUUUGGAUAUUCUGGAUUAUUUUUAUUUUUAUUUUUAUUUUUUGUGCUCAUGAAUGAUA
Helianthus annuus (common sunflower) is the source of this 4116-nucleotide RNA transcript. It is a transcript of the gene named DExH-box ATP-dependent RNA helicase DExH18, mitochondrial-like, with no coding region annotated. The transcript has 5 exons. The record is from RefSeq and is a predicted model, not a curated record. Lineage: Eukaryota; Viridiplantae; Streptophyta; Magnoliopsida; Asterales; Asteraceae.